This is a long non-coding RNA of Amphimedon queenslandica, 332 nucleotides long. RefSeq lists it as uncharacterized. NCBI's taxonomy places the organism in Eukaryota, Metazoa, Porifera, Demospongiae, Haplosclerida, Niphatidae. The transcript is spliced from 2 exons. The record is from RefSeq and is a predicted model, not a curated record.
CCUAAUAUGGAAAGAGAGUUCUACUCAUCACCUAUUGAUUGGUUAUUAAUUAAUAUUAAAGACAUGCCCAUUCAUAUUGUGUUUUAUGAUGUUCUGUUAUCAAAAAUUGAAGAAUAUCUAGACAACAAUUCAUAUGUACAGGCUGCUAAAUUGUUUAAUACUCACUUUAAAGACAAUGACAGAACUGGACAAUAUAUAUUAGUAUAUACUUUAGUUUACAAUAAUUAAUGGACUUAAUCAUGUGUUUGUGUUGGGUCAGUCUUGUAUAUGUACAUCUACAUGUAUAUCAAAUUCAUGUGAUUUGUAGCCUUUUUACCCCUCCACAAAGUCCA